This 501-nucleotide ribosomal RNA is filed under the name uncultured bacterium. RNAcentral describes it as "bacterial SSU rRNA". It matches the Rfam family "Bacterial small subunit ribosomal RNA", at positions 28 to 507 of the family's 1533-position model. The record is from RNAcentral.
GGCUAACGCUGGCGGCGUGUCUUAGCCAUGCAAGUCGAGCGGACUUAUGGGGUAACUUAUAAGUCAGCGGCGGACGGCGGAGUAACACGUAGCUAACCUACCCUCUGGACGGGGAUAACCUACCGAAAGGUGGGCUAAUACCCGAUGUAGUCAUCCUGUAUAGGGGUGAUGAAAGGUGGGCUUCUGUUUACAAGCUCAUGCUGGAGGAGGGGGCUGCGGCCUAUCAGGUAGUUGGUAGGGUAAUAGCCUACCAAGCCGAUGACGGGUAGCCGGCCUGAGAGGGUGACCGGCCCGAGGGGCACUGAGAUACGGGUCCCACUCCUACGGGAGGCAGCAGGCUAGUAAAUUUGGGCAAGUGGGGGAAACCCUGACCCAGUGACGCCGCGUGCAGGAAGGAGCCCGUUCGGGGUGUAAACUGCUGUCGUGUAGGGAGAAGGGUACUAAGGUGAACAAUCUUAGUACUUGACGGUACUACAGGAGGAAGCCCAGGCUAACCUCGUG